AGUGGGACGACGUCAAGUCAGCAUGACCUUUAUAUCCAGGGCUACACACACGCUACAAUGGUCAGUACAAUGGGUUGCCAAGCCGCGAGGCGGAGCCAAUCCUAAAAAGCUGGCCUCAGUUCAGAUUGCAGUCUGAAACUCGACUGCAUGAAGUCGGAGUUGCUAGUAAACGCAGGUCAGCUAUACUGCGUUGAAUACGUUCCCGGGGCUU
Molecule: ribosomal RNA, 211 nt
Filed under: uncultured Anaerolineaceae bacterium
Lineage: Bacteria; Bacillati; Chloroflexota; Anaerolineae; Anaerolineales; Anaerolineaceae
Description: partial 16S ribosomal RNA
Rfam family: Bacterial small subunit ribosomal RNA
Source: RNAcentral